CUAGAAAAGGUGUGCGUUGCCUGAGGUCAUCACCCACAGUGUUUUCUCAAUAACCGUUUGCAAUAGGAAAACCCAAUUAGCAAGCUAAUUGGCUAAUUAGCAGGCUAAUUGCCCUAUUAUUAAUAAUCCAUUUACUAAUCUAAUUGACAUUCAUAUUAAGCACAUAAUAUAUUCCAUUUCUAUAUUAAGGAAGCAGGAUUUCAUAAUUGAAAUACAUCGGAGUACAACAUGAUAUAGCUUCAACACUCAGCUACCCCAUUACACGACUGCACCAGCAGCAAGUUUCACAUGCAACAUCUAGAACCUUUCAAAAUUAGAAUCAUAGACGGUACAUAGACAGAUGCAUCUCAUCUGGAAAACUGCUGAAGCGGAAGGCGAAUAUUGAGCCUUCACUCAUGUUGAAGGUCUUUGCAACUUUAGGCCAGUGCCUGUGAAUGAUUGACCGCUCAUCCUUCGACCUCUUCAGGAACACUUCAAUAUUGAACCGUGGGUGUUGUAUGAAAACUUUCCUCGCCUCGUGAUCACAAACUUGGUUUGAGGGGUAAUCAUCAGUGAACCCUGAAACAAGGAUGUGAGUAAAUAUCUUCUCUAUAUUGGAAAUGGAGCAAAUGAAUAAAAAGGCAAGAGGUAUAAUAUUUAGUACCAUCUUGUAAACCUCACUGCUUCCCAUUGUUUCCCUGCAACGCAUAUAAGGUAGUUAGUCAUCAGGUUAAGUAAGUGUUCGCAUGCUAUCAGUAAAAUAUGUUGAUGAUAAAUAAGCACAUUACAGAUUCAUCAGAUUAAUUCAAGCCACAUGGAAAACCCAUUUAUCCAAACCAAGCAUGAUUAAGAACUAGGAAAUAUAGCACUUGUAUAUGUUUUUCAUGUAUUAAGUGCAACCAAAUUCGAUCUAUUCCUCACAUGGUAUACAAUAAUAGAAUGCAGCCACAACAAUUGAACAUCGCAUUGCAGAAUUGAACCAAGCAGUUAACUAAACACCACAACAAAUGAACCAAAUGUUAACUGAGCACCACAUUGCACAAUAUAACAUACUCCUAAUACAAGAUCAGACAGUUAACCAAGCCAAGCAUGCUUAACAACUUGGAAAUAUAGCAACUGUAUUUGUUUCUCAUGUAUUUAGUACAGCCAAAUUUGAUUUAUUUCUCACAUGGUAUACAAUAACAGAAUGCAGCCACAACAAUUGAACAUCGCAUUACAGAAUUGAACCAAGUAGUUAACUAAACACCACAACAAAUGAACCAAACGUUAACUGAGCACCACAUUGCACAAUAUAACAUACUCCUAAUGGAAGAUCAAACAGUUAACCAAACCAAGCAUGCUUAACAACUUGGAAAUAUAGCAAUUGUAUUUGUUUCUCAUGUAUUUAGUCCAACCAAAUUUGAUUUAUUUCUCACAUGGUAUACAAUAACAGAAUGCAGCCACAACAAUUGAACAUCGCAUUGCAGAAUUGAACCAAGCAGUUAACUAAAGACCACAACAAAUGAACCAAACGUUAACUGAGCACUACAUUGCACAAUAUAACAUACUUGUAAUAGAAGAUCAGACAAUUAACCAAACCAAGGAUGCUUAACAACUUGGAAAUAUUGCACCCUAAAGAAUUGAACAUACAUUUGUAGAAUUGAACCAAGCAGUUAACUGAACACCACAUUGCACGACAUAUAGAACAUAUACACUAUAGCAGAAGAUUGCAUGGUAAAAGUAGAUAUCACAAUUCACUAGAAUUUGUUAAGGAAAGACAGUAGCUAGCAAACUGAACAUGGGUCCUUAUAGUGAGCUAAUAAGAUAAGCUACUCCUCAUUGUCGGAGAUAUCGAUGAUGAUUGGCUCCUUGGACAUGGAAGAGGGCGAGGCCUCCGCAUCGUGGGUGCCCUCAUUGUAGUGGUGAGUUGCCUGAGCCGCUCCGCACCAACCUGCUGGCUCUCGAGAUGAGGUAAGCACGUGCACGUUGAGAAAACACCUCGUAGUCUUCGUCGAAGGCACUGACGGUGGCCUCAAGAAAACGCCACAAACUGUCGUUUAAAGCAGCCACCCGCGUCGCGGCGUCAGCGCACGAGGCGUCAACGUUGGCCUCGAUGGUGAGCUUCUCCUCCAAGAUCUGGGGGUCGGCACGAAUGGCAGCCAUCGCGACCUCAUCCACGCGUGCGGCCGCGAUUUGCUUCUCCACUGCCAAAUGCUCCUUGAGAUCCUAGCUAUAUUGUGUGCACCAUGGCUUAGGUCGGAGCUUAUUUGGUGGAGGGGUUGAUGAUUUGGGUGGAAGGUGUCGCACUUGCGCUGACGGUCGGGGCAUGUGGGAUGUGGAAGGAGGAGGCGGAUGGGGGUCGGGUGUGGAUUACCUGCCUAGAUAGGCGAGGCCAAGCAGCGUCAAGGAGGGUCGUCAGUGAGGAGGCGGCGCUGUAAGCAAGGAGUGAAGGUUUCAAUUUGCAAAGGAAGGUGGAAAGGGGGGAAAUGUGGCUUUUGGUAAGGGGGAGGGGGCGGGGAGGUAGAUAUAUCCGUGGAAGCCAAAAAUUUGGAAUCGCUUCAGCCAAAAAACUGGCACGCAAAGUGUCAUCAGACAUGGUCCCUUAUUCAGAACCGUGUACGAUAUGUGAACAUCACAAACGAUUCAGAUAGCUUAACCCGUGUGUGAUGAGUUUGAACGUCAAAAAAUUUUGGUUCGAAUUUCCAUGGUUACAGUGGUCAUCCACAUCAUUGCAUAAUUUGGGUACACAAAGGAGACUACAACACACCCACACUUCUAAACCGAGCAAGUUUAGCAAUUAAACAGAGCUAGCUGACCUAAACAUUACUCUAACUAAUUAAAGACUGGCGCUCUUAAUUAAACAAAACAAAGAGUACUACUACGGCUGGUGCUCAUCGAUCUCCGCUGCCACCUUCAUGCCCAGCUCACGCCCGACGGUCUCCUGGGGAAGGGGCUCCAUGGCAUCAAUCGCACCAUACUCGGCAAGAAUCUCGCCAUCCGCGUCCGCCAUAUCUUUGGAAUAGGCCGCCACAAGCAGGGCAUGGGCGGCCAUGAUCUGGGCUUUGGCGGGCUCCGUCGUGGCAAGGUAUGCCGCGCAGGAACGGAUGGCUACUCGAACUCUCUCGGAGAUUGCCAACUCUUCGGCCGUGGGUUGCCGACCGUUGUCAAAGAAGCUUCCUUCGAUUUGUGCGGUGAGCGCCACAAGCUGGGCGUAGAUGGCGUCGACAUGGUGGUCGGCGGCCUCCAUCAGUGCUAAGGCCACCGCUACGGAACGGACAGCUGCUGUGCCGCUCUCGCCAGUUACUAUCCCCGAGGCAGAUGCUUCUGCCGCCGCUUGAGAAGCAACAGUGGCCGUUUGGGCUGCCUUGGCCGCCCGGACGCAGAUUGCGGUCGCCCUCACAAAGCUUGUUAGCACGCGCCUGGCGGCUGCGGCCGCGCUCUCGCCGGAGUGGGCCGCCAAAGUUGGCCUCACGAUGCGGGUCCACGUCCCCAUCUUUCAUCAGCGACAAUUGAACAGUGAAAUGAUAUUUAGGGAGUGAGCUAGUGUGCUUGACACGCCGGCAGUGGACUGUAGCCGACGCACCUUCUCGCUUAAGCCAUAGGCGUACUAUACGCCGACGGUGCUCCAAGAUAUUUUGUGUUGUGUCUCACACGAUUGGUGAUAAUAAACUAUGCGUAAUCUAUUUGAUUUUUUGUCUUGAUUUGAAUUACGUAGUGGGGUCACGGUUGCAAAGGAUGGUGUUUGAAUUGCUAGAACCUUUAUCUGCAGUGAACAUGCAACUAUAGGUGUGUCAUAAAAAAAUGGAAUUAUUCAGGGUUCGUUUGGAUGUUUUUAUACAUUAACUUGGUUUUGUAGGCAUUUCAGGUGCAUAAUUCAAAUUUGAACUACAUGCACAUGCUUCAGUGCAUAUAAAUUGGUUGAAAAAUCAAAUCUUUGUCCUUUGGUGCAUGCUUAGGUCCCAUGCAAGAAAUGGGAAUGAAUGUCAAACACCCUGCCGGCGUCACUCGGCCGGAAACAUUGAGAUACCUGGUUUUUAGAUUCUACUAAAUCCAAAACUCAUCCAAAAUUCAUGAAACUUGGCAUGCUCUCAUGGAGCGGCAUCAACAUGCCAUGGUAAAUUUUUUGUCCCAUUUGGGGCAGGUUUGGGUAUAUACUUCUCACAAACCACUGCUUCUCACAGCAAGCAUGAUGGUUUCGGUAGGGAACGCCCCACCUUUGGGGACGAAACGAUAUCCAUUGCCUCUUAUUGCUUUCAAAAAAUUUCUCAUGUCAACAUAGAACAACAGGAGUGUUGUGUUAUUUUUUGUGAUUUUUCGGGGUUCGUUUGGACAUUUUUAUGCAUUAAGUGAGUUUCCAAUGCAUUUAUGUGCAUCAUUCAAAUUUGAACUACAUGCACAUGCUCCAGUGCAUAUAAAUUGGUUGAAAAAUUAAAUCUUUGUCCUUGGGUGCAUGCUUAGGUCCCAUGCAAGAAAUGGGAAUGAAUUUCAAACACCCUGCCACCGUCACUUGGCCGCAAACAUUGAGAUACCUGGUAUUUAAAUUCUAGUAAAUCGAAAACUCGUCUGAAAUUCAUCAAACUUGGCAUGCUCUCAUGGAGCGGCAUCAACAUGAUGUGGUAAUUUUUUUGUCCCAUUUGGGGCAGGUUAGGGUAUAUGCUUCUCACAAACCAGAGCUUCUCACAACAAGCAUGAUGGUUUCGACAGGGAACGCCCCACCAUUGGGGACGAAAUGAUCUCCAUUGCCUCUUAUUGCUUUCAAUUUUUUCUCAUGUCAACAUAGAACAACAUGAGUCUUGUGUUAUUUUUUGUGAUUUUUUGGAGUUUGUUUGGACAUUUUUUAUGCAUUAAGUGAGUUUUCAAUGCAUUUAUGUGCAUAAUUCAAAUUUGGACUACAUGCACAUGUUCUAGUGCAUAUAUAUUGGUUGAAAGAAAUCAAAUAUUUGUCCUUGGUUGCAUGCUUAGGUCCAAUGCAAGAAAUGGGAAUGAAUGUCAAACACCCUGCCACCGUCACUCGGCCGCAAACAUUGAGAUACCUGGUAUUUAAAUUCUAGUAAAUCCAAAACUCGUCUGAAAUUCUUAAAACUUGGCAUGCUAUCAUGGAGCAGCAUCAACAUGCCGUGGUAAAUUGUUUGUCCCAUUUGGGGCAAGUUUGGGUAUAAGCUUCUCACAAACCAGAGCUUCUCACAACAAGCAUGAUGGUUUCGAUUGGGAACGUCCCACCUUUGGGGACGAAAUGAUAUCCAUUGCCUCUUAUUGCUUUCAAUUUUUUUUCUCGUGUCAACAUAGAACAACAUGAGUGUUGCGUCAAUUUUUGUGAUUUUUCGGGGUUCGUUUGGACAUUUUUAUGCAUUAAGUGAGUUUUCAAUCCAUUUAUGUGCAUCAUUCAAAUUUGAACUACAUGCACAUGCUCCAGUGCAUAUAAAUUGGUUGAAAAAACAAAUAUGUGUCCUUGGGUGCAUGCUUAGGUCCCAUGCAAGAAAAGGGAAUGAAUUUCAAACACGAGGGCACCGUUGAUUGUCGGCUAAACAUUGAGAUACCUGGUAUUUAAAUUCUAGUAAAUCCAAAAGUCGUCUGAAAUUCAUGAAACUUGGCAUGGUAUCAUGGAGCGGCAUCAACAUGUCGUGGUAAAUUUUUAUACCAUUUGGGGCAGGUUUGGGUAUAAGCUUCUCACAAACCAGAGCUUCUCACAACAAGCAUGAUGGUUUCGAUAGGGAACGUCCCACCUUUGGGGACAAAACGAUAUCCAUUGCCUCUUAUUGCUUUCAAAAAUUUUCUCAUGUCAACAUAGAACAAUAGGAGUGUUGUGUUAUUUUUUUGUGAUUUUUCGGGGUUCGUUUGGACAUUUUUAUGCAUCAUGUGAGUUUUCAAUGCAUUUAUGUGCAUAAUUCAAAUUUGAACUACAUGCACAUGCUCUAGUGCAUAUAAAUUGGUUGAAAAAUCAAAUCUUUGUCCUUGGGUGCAUGCUUAGGUCCCAUGCAAGAAAUGGGAAUGAAUGUCAAACACCCUGCCACCGUCACUCGGCCGCAAACAUUGAGAUACCUGGUUUUUAAAUUAUAGUAAAUCCAAAACUCGUCUGAAAUUCAUGAAACUUGGCAUGCUAUCAUGGAGUGGCACCCGACAUGUUGUGGUAUUUUUCGUGUCCAUUUUGAGAGAAGGCGCACUCGAAUAACAGCCAACAAAGGCAUUUUGAAAAAAUAGCUGCCACUUUAAUAUCUCAAACGUUUGUAUAAUUCAAACCGUGUGCGUUAUGUUAACCAUUACCGUGACACCACAUGUCUUGGUUUUAAUGGCUCUUGAUCGCAAACGUUUUAGAUAGAACACCUGUAUGCAAAGUGAGAGCAGGAUUUGUGCAUCUCUUGAACACAAACGGUUCUUUUGGAUAACCGACGUGAACCACUUACAAACAAUUUGGUAAGAUUUGCAACUAAAAUUUAGUAAUUAAGCAUAGAUGGAGGCGAGGAGGCAUGUUCAGCCAGGCGUGUAGCAGGGGCCGUAGUACUAUUCGAUUUGACAGCGGGCGACGCAGUUCCCGAUAUGGCUUUAAUGCAGACGAGGGAGAGGGUAGCGGUUCCCGAAAUGUUGAACGACCAAUGAUGCAUCCUCCUUCGAUUAGCAUCGUGUGAAUGCAUGAGGGAAUUAAUGGGAGGAGGACCGGGAAAAGAGGCAGCACGAUGUGAAUGCAACGCAGUUUGCACUCAUAUAAAGGCGCCCCUCCAUUCCAAUGCAUCUACCACAUCGUACGCACCUAAGCACCUACACUAAUAAGCGCAAAAGUGCUCACUCCAGACCUAUGGCGGUGAUGCACGCGAGCAGCCAGCGACUGUGCCAGAUGGUCCAUGAUGCCGGCAUGUGACAUGGCACCGUGGAUCGUCUCCACACGGUGUUGGCGACCGGCUGGUGGAUGGCCACCGUCGAUGCCAGCUACGACUCUCAAUACGACCAGAUGAUCGUUCGCACCACCAACAGGUUCAUCACCGUCAAGAAGCUCGCGGUCGACAUCGCCGUACUCCUCCAGCCCGAGCGCCCGGGCUCCUCAUUGCCUGCCACCCUAAUCGGCCUCCAUGGCCGGAACCUCUUGCAAGCACUGGUGGCCCUGCGACUGCCUGCCGACGCCACAAAGAAUGUCCACCUGGAGGUCGCGCUCGCCGUGAGGCGCCUCACCCUGCAAGAAACCGUUGACCUACACAUCCAUGUGUAUGAUUGAAUCGUGUACAUAGGUAUCUACAAGGCCAGUGAGGACGCUACGAUGUUGGCCUUCUUCAACUGGCUGGAAGCCUUGGAGGCCAUUGCUGAGAAGCACCUUGACCUCGCCACAAAAGCCACUGCUCCUUAGCCGCUGGUCGGUGGCCCGGCGCACUGAGUUGAGGAGGAGGAGGUCGUACGUUGAUGGAUGCAUCUUUCUUCUUGCCUCCUGUAACCACCACUGCGAUCACAUCAUCAUGGCUUUAAUUCUUAUUGUGUUAUUGCAUUCUCAUUCUAGUCAAUACAGACAUGUGCGAUCCCUUUGCUUAAUUAUGUGCAUCACUGUAACUUUACAUUUUUUGUUUUUUGUACACAUGUUGAUUGGCUUGAAGAAGGUCUAUCUCGUUACUUUUUGAUAAUUUUUGUUUUUUGAACACAUGUUGAUUGGCUUGAAUGAAGGUCUAUCCCGUUACUUUACGACAUGUUUCCAAAACAUUAACCUCUGUGUAUUUGUUCUCGAAUUACCGGGCCUUUUUGCCGCAUAUCACACACAUCUUGUUAAGUUGAACUGUUUAUGUUCUCUCCCCCAAUCGAAAACAUUUCAGUCGACUGAACCGUAUGCCGUAUAUCACACACAACUUGAUCUGGCUGACCGUUUCUGUUGCUUUCCCUAAUAGCAAACAGUUCAUCAGAGCGAACUGUAUGGCGUAUAUCGUACAUGCAUUGAUAUGGCUACCCGUUUCUGUUGUUCUGUCUAAUCACAAUCAGUUCGUCUGGAUCAACCGUAUGCCCUGCUUCGCACACGGAACUAAAAUCUGAACCUUGUUUGAUGCAUCCAGCAUCGCAAACAUUUUGCACCUUUUUUGACGGUUUUUUACACCACCAUUUGCGAUCAUGGCAUCGCACACAGUUUCGUCGAAGGGUCUCUGAUUGUAGUGUCGCAUUAGCAGCAUCCUGCAGUAGUGGUGCCACCUGGAAGGUUAACUCUUCGGACCUAUAGUUCUCGGGCGUGCCGAAUACCACAUCAAGUUUGAUUUCUCCCAAACAUCGUGCUUCUCGACUGGGGAUAAUACCUCUAAGGGUUGUACUGCUCUGCUGGAUGCGGCUCCUGUCCAUUUGCAUUUUGUCGAGCGUGUCCUCAUAGAUGAGGUUCAAUCCGCCGCCCCCAUCCAUGAGCACUUUAGUGAGCCAAAAGCCAUCCACAAUUGGGUUUAGAACUAAAGCGGCUGGUGCUCAGACUGAUCGGGCCCGUGGUUCGCCAGUGGCGUUGAAAGUUAUCGCCAUGUCGUUCCAAGGGUUUAUUGCAGCUACUUGGUUAACUUCGGCGAGGUCGUGGAGCUCCCUUUUACGCUGAUUAUUUGAAGAAAAGGUCUUGAAGACCGUAAGUACAUUGAGAUUGUUAUUCUCCGAGGAGUACUUUGCUGGGGUAGUGUUGGUGAGGAUGGCCUCACCGCUUUUAGCCACAUGCCGGAGUAUCCAACAUGCCCGAAGGCUAUGUGUUGGUUCCGAAUUCGGCAUCGUGUGUAUCUGACAAGGCUUGUCGAGCCAUUCAUCAAGGACAGUUCUAUGUCCUGUUAAGGGCUUAAUUUUCUUGUCCGUGGAGCGAUGAUCAGGUGCCCCGCGAGGGUGCAUCCUUUUUGCCUGGCCGGUGGGUGGCUUAAAGGCCGAUGGUUCCCACCGAGCUGUCUGGGCUUUCCAGUCGUUUUCCAUUGCGCAAUACUUUUGUACUAUGUGUGCCAAAUCUGCAAAGUGCAGUAUGCGGCAUCGGUUGAGGGCAUUGAGGAUCCCCUCGUUCGUACAGUUGCGACAAAGUACUGAUACCGCAUCGUCGUCACAGCAAUCUUUAAUCUUGUUUUUAACGAGUAGGAAUCUAGCCCAAAAGUGAUGUAUUGUUUCCUGAGGUUGCUGCCGUAUAUACAUUAAGUCGCAUAUGUCAGGGGGGCCGGAAUUGCUUGGAGAGUAUUGAUUGUGGUGGGCGGGUGGGUUUAAAUAUGAACCCUGACCCACUGAGGAAUCCGGAUUUUGCAAAAUUUCUGAGGUCACUAGCCCAGGAUCCGGAGUGUCCUGGGGUUUUUUAGGCUCAGCGCCUGAUUCUAUGUUCGGAGGACAGAUGGUCUCUUCUCGAAGAUGGGUGUCCGGCUCGCAGGGCUCGGUGAUCCAAACAUAGUUUGUUUUCAGCAUAGGAGGAGCGGUAUCCUCAACUUGCUCUUCCAUGACGGUCACCAGGUGGGUGACAGGUGGGGACCUGAUUUCCCUCUGAUCGGGUUUAAGCCCAAUCAGAUCAUAAUCUGUUGUGACCCCUAGGGCGGUGAUGCGAUCUAGCAGUUCGUUUAAAGACGAGAUAUCUGCCGGAUCCAUCUUAUCGACGCUUUUCGGGGUUGAUGCAGAGAUGGUUUUUGGCAAUCUGGGGGACCGCUUUGGGCUUGACGGCCGGGCGGGCGCCCAUGGUGAAACUGCCGAUCUGGAGGAUCUGCCCAGGAACUAGGGCCCUUCCAGAGUUGAUCUUGUCGUUGACGACAAGGCGAGCCAUCGAUCCUUCUAUCGACAACACGGAGGAACUCUCAAUGAAAGCACCAAUGUCGGUGUCAAAACCGACCGAUCUCGGGUAGGGGGUCCCGAACUGUGCGUCUAAGGAUCAAAGGUAACAGGAGGCGGGGGGACAUGAUGUUUUACCCAGGCUCGGGCCCUCUUAAUGGAGGUAAUACCCUACUUCCUGCUUGAUUGACUUUGAUGAGUAUAAGGGUUACAAGAGUUGAUCUACCUCGAGAUCGCAAUGGCUAAACUCUAGAUGUCUAGCCUGUAUGAUUGUCCUUUUCUCUACGGACUAAACCCUCCAUUUUAUAUAGACACCGGAGAGGCCCAAGGUUGUACAAAGUCGGUUUAUAGAGAAAGGAAACUAUACGACUAGCCGCCAAGCUUGCUAUCCACGCCAAGGAGAGCCCCAUCCAGACAUAGAGAGUGGCCUUCUAUCUUGUACCUUCACGGCCCAUUAGUCCGGCCCAUCGAGGACCCCUUAAUUCAGGACUCCCUCAGUCGUGCCGCCCAUGGAGGUUGUGCCGACCACGCCUGAGGAGGUGGACAUGGAUGAGGACGUUGCGCCGGAGGAGCCCCUAGCGGCAAGCACCGUAACUACGACCACUACAACAAGGAGGAAGGUCCAACCCACUUCUGCAAGGUGAUCCUUGCCCCUCAAUUUGAGUGCAUCCCGAUGCCUCUAGACUUCACCAAACACUUCCCGGCGGUGUCGCAAGAGUUCAAGCCGAGGACCAACACCAGCUGCUCGUGGAGGGUGACUAUCCGGCUGAUGGACGGCAGGGUAACCCUUGAUCAGGGUUGGGCCCCCUUGGCCGCCGUCCAUCAGAUCAGGAUCGGCUAAAUGGCGACGUUCAAACUGCUCACUCCCGAGACGCUCAAGGUCAUCGUCUUCAACGACGAAGGCAUUGAAGUGGUGACCAAGUGCGGCAAGAAUGACGACGCCUUUGCCGUCAACGUUUAGGACUGCCCUUCCUAUGCUCUAGCUGGUUUAGUUUCUUAGUGUACCACUUUGAGUUUAAACCGAUACGUUUAAGUGUGACACUUUAUUUAAACUGCGGCCAUGGUUUACAACUAUCUUUUGUUGUGUAUGUAUGAUUUUUCUUCACGCCGCUGUGUGCUGGUAAUGUCACCACCUCGCCGAAGAGAUUACCAGACAACAUCUGUUGAACGAUAACCAAACAAUAUACAAGUGUCAAAAUUUUUGACUAUUUUUCUCAUCCAGGCUCCAUUGAGCCAGGGUUAAGCUAGCCAUGCCGGUCACAAGGCUACCAAACACUCCUUUGCGUUCUGGAACAUUCUGCUCGCCUCCAAAUAACCCACACCCAAUUUCAAAAAUAAAUAAAUAACCCACACCCAAGGGCGGGGAGUCUGCCCAUCACUUCCCUGCGUCCAGAUUCCGGAAGCACCCUUCCGUCGCCUCUUCCAUCGUCCGAUUGCUCCGUGGUGCCCGGCUCGGCGAGAAGCCUCUGCCUAGGUGCGUACGGCCGCUCAGCUCAACCGCCUCUAUCCGCAGUCUUCGAUUUCCUCUUUCGCCCCUCGCUUUGGUUGGAUCGUCGGCUGCCUGCUGCGAUUUUAGCCCGGAUGGUUGCGUUUAGGUCGGGAAUUUUGGUCGAAUUGGGAAUAUAGGAUUCCAACAAGAUGACAUGCCGCUCCAAUCCCACGUUUUUCAAAGUUGUGGUAGUACUAAUUUGUAAGUCUAGUUUUCUACAGCUUCGGUAUAGAUCACAAUGGAAGUAUUGGGGUAGCAAUACCAGUGGGAGUUCUGCCCCCUUUUGGUUGUGCGGAUAGUCAAUGGAGCCUCCAAUUCUUUCCUCUGUUUCUGACUGAACCUCGGAAAUUAGGAGUAGUAUACAGGAUGACAGCAAUCGGGUUCAAGAUUGACCCCAUGGUGUUAACAGGAUGCAUUGAGUUUAUCUCCAUCGCUAAUUUUCUAUCUUCCCUUCCCGCUGAUAACACACCACUCAAACGAAGUAGCCAGCCCGGCCAGCCCAUCUCUAUUUUUCAGUUGCCAAACGAAACCAAGCCGCCGGCCCGUAUGUCUAUUUUGUGGUUGCCACCCCAUAUCAAGAGGAUGGUUGCUCGGUCGAGAAAAGGAUGAACGGCCUAUGGCACCUCCGACCGCUGGCUUCUCUCCAGCCGUGUUCGAAUCUGCGUAGACGGGCAUGCACCGGCAAGAUGCCUUGGCACUGAACAUGCACGGUGUAUUCCUGGCAGCGCCAAUGGUGGGACAGAGCAGGAUGGGCAUGACUUUAAUUUCCGUCUCGUCCGCAGCGACGCACAUGGCGCUGGCUAUGGUGACACGGACGAGUAGACGAAGCCAAGACAGACGUGCAUCCGACGCGGCGGCAGAGCUGCAGGCCGCGUGGGCAUAGCGGUGGUUGUGAUGCUGACGUGCAGCCGGCGCGGCUGCAUUGCACGAGCUGUAGAGAGGGCAGCGACAGUGGUUGUGCAUGUGUAGUGAGCUAUGGCCGACGGCGGCGCGACAACACAAAGAAGCAACGGUCCACUGGGCAAGGUCCGGUCCACCGAGUCAUAGUUGCACCAGACCACGUGAACCUUGAGUUAGCAGGAAUGCCAUUGAGAUCGAGUGAGCUUGUUGAACUGGAAGAAGAAGGAACAAUUAAGGAAUCACUGUCAUAAUCCAUGCACGUAAACUAUGGGCAUGGCAAUCAGCUGGAUCCAUGCAUUGCUGAACAUGUGCAUACACAAACUGCACAUAUCGAGAAUCAUACUAGCAAACUUGUAAGACACCUGAGAGGUACUCGAUCAAGUUCCCUGAUCAUUACGUGCAUUAAAACGUAUGGCUGACAUGCACUUUUGAGCCUUCUUCUUUUGGGGGGUAACUUUUUCUUGGGGUAACAAAUUUGAGCUAAGACUUCAAGUUGCUUUGUGUUUCUUGGUAGUGCCACGCCUAAUUAUGAGCAUGGUCAUUUUCUUUUGAAUAUAUUCACAGACUAAUUACUCACACCAGUAAUCAUCUCUGUAAAAUUGAAGUCUAUGAGGAGCAAAUAUAUCUAUCUCACAACAUUACUUGAAGCCAACAUAUGUCUUUAUUUUGAUUCAGGCGGAUUUGGAGUUAGCAGUGCACUAGGUAAACACUCGAGUACGACACAAACAAUGAAAUUUAUUUUAUACCCGUUGCAAGGCACGAGUUGCUUAUAGGUGGAACUAAUUAACAUGUUUAUUUGCUAGAGGUAGGCUCUAAAGCUAGAAGGACGCUAAGCUUGGAGAUAUCGACGCCAAGGCUUGCACUCACUGUAUGGAAACUUUUAAAGAGCAAUUGCAUACAAUGCGGGAUGGUGCAUGCGUCAAGUAAAGAUGAGAUAAAGAUGACACCCACCAUCAACAUAAUUCAAAAGUCCACAAAAUUAUAAGUCGGUGCAGGGAGGCGUUCACGAAGGGGCGUUCCAGAGCAUAAUGACCUAGCUCAUUGCCUUCGGAUUGGAUACUUUCAUCGUGAAUAAGUUGAAAACGUGAUUAUCAUUGGAGACGAUAGUGAAGAGGAGAAGUGGGAAUGCAAAAGGGUCGCCGCUAGGCACAUGACAAGAUUUGCUUCUCCCGUUGCAACGCACAGGCACAUUUCCUAGAAUAAUUAAAAGAAAGGAUCUAGGCCUUAAUGUGUUGGAGCUAUUAAAUUAGAAAAGGAAGGAUUUGAUUCCCGACUAAAACCGGUGAAGACUUCAUGGUAAUUAAUGAAAGAAUCAUACUUAAAUGCCAUUAAACAAGGAUUGUAUUUAAAUGAAAUCAGUGGGACAUUACGCCCCGCAAAGAAAAUAUGAACAUGACUAAAUUGCGUCGUAUUUUUUUAUGUUCAUUUUAUAGAAGGACGAUGCUGCGUUGCAACAUGUUCCUUUAUAAUGAAUCCGAUGCUGUGGGAUAUUAUGCUUAUGCAAAACAUCAAUUUUUUUUGUUGGAACGCACAGGCAUAUGUGCUAGUGAAUGGAAAAUCAAAGAAACAGGUUGAGGGUCCCACCUGCAGGGUCAGAAACUCUGCCGUAGUCCUCGUCCAUCCACUAUUAUAAUCGCGCAGACGAGACGACGACAGGCGUCGUACCAUUCAGCCCAGUCUCCGAUGCACUCCCCGCUUUGACCAUCCUAAUCACGCCGUAAAGCGGUAAAAUCCCCCACCUGAUUCAAAACGGCGCCGCCUAAACCCCUCCUAACCCCCCGUGGUUAAACUCCGUGGCCGAGAGAGGCCAAAAAGUGUUCGGCGACGCGCCGUGUCAGUUCAAGCCCCAAACUCGCCGCCUCCGCUAAACCUCCCCUCCCCUCCCCUCACGAGGCGAGAGAGUGACGACGCUCACGAGGAGGGGCAGCAGCAGAGUCAGAACCAGCAGGCGGCGCAGCCCCUGCAGCAGACGGCGGUCGAAUCGCGGGGGAGAGGUCGCCGGCGUGAGGGAGGUCCGCCCCGGCGACGCCGCGCAGCCGUUUUCUCUCCGCGGUCCCGUCGAUCUCGUUUUUCAGCCCCCGCUGCUCUCCACCGGCCGAUCCCGCGAGCCCAGGCUGCAGAUCGUUCCAUUCCGCGAGGUAUUUCCGGGCGACGACGCUGAUCCGCUAGGGUUCUUCUAGCGAGGCGCUCCUGUCCUGUCCCUUUCGUUUUAUUCUCCGGUCCUGUCGGUCCUUUAACGCUCUUGGCGAUUCUCGUGCUGCUUGCAGGGGAGGCGAAAGGGAGCGCGGCCUUUGGACCGGGGGAAAGGCGAAGGGGAGGGAGAAUCUUCGGGUUUCGGCUUUAGGAGCUCCCGGCUCAUGGAUUUCUUCAAGCUCAAGAAGUUCGGCAAGGCCCGGAAGGGCUCCAGGCGUGAGGGAGAGGCCUUGGAGUGCGACGAGGACGCCAACGGAGGGAAUGUGGCUUCGGAGGGCGACAUCUUCGAGGAGAACCCUGAGGCGGCCGCAGGGGCUGGUGUGGCCAAUGGGGGAGGGGCUGGUGUGGCCAACGGAGGAGAGGAGGUUGGGGAGGAAGAGGAGGAUGAGGACGAUGAUUUCAUCACCAACGAGGUGAAGCGGAGGCUCAAGGAGAUGAGGAAGAACACCUUCAUGGUGCUCAUCCCGGAGGAGGAGAAUGCUGAGGUGGAGGAGGAUGAGGACGGGGAGGAGGAAGAGGAAGGGAGUAGCUCUAGGGAGUGGAUGGAGUCCGACGUCGGUGAAGGGUUCCCGCUAUGUGGCUUCGACUCGCUCUAUGAAAAGUACUCUCAGAGAAUGGUGGCGUUUGAUAAGACGAUUACACAGGUCUUUAAGGAUUCAGGUGAAAAAUUUAGCACAUUGUAAUUUCUUGUAUGGGUGCUUAGAUUUGUUGCGUGUUGACUUGAAUGCCACAUUGCCACGCAAUGUGUUUUACUUUGUUGCUGCUAUCUGACUGGCCAUAUUAGUUUCGAAGCAACACUUCAGUCUUCAUUUGCUACAUAAUGACACCAUUUUAUCUACCUAGAAGUGCACAUCAUCGGUUUUGUUUUUUGGUUUAUGAUAGAUUCUAAAAAUCUACAUGGUGAAAAAUAUAGCACAUUGUAGUCUUUUGUAUGGUUGCUUAUAGUUUUUGCAUGUUGAGUUGAAUGCCACAGAAUGUGUUUUACUUUUCUGCUAUCUGGUCUGCCAUAUUAGUCUCAAAGCAACGUUUCAGUUAUCGCUCUAUUUUUGCCACACAACUGCGUUAUUUAGCCCAUACGGAAGUNNNNNNNNNNNNNNNNNNNNNNNNNNNNNNNNNNNNNNNNNNNNNNNNNNNNNNNNNNNNNNNNNNNNNNNNNNNNNNNNNNNNNNNNNNNNNNNNNNNNNNNNNNNNNNNNNNNNNNNNNNNNNNNNNNNNNNNNNNNNNNNNNNNNNNNNNNNNNNNNNNNNNNNNNNNNNNNNNNNNNNNNNNNNNNNNNNNNNNNNNNNNNNNNNNNNNNNNNNNNNNNNNNNNNNNNNNNNNNNNNNNNNNNNNNNNNNNNAGAUGCUAUAAAUCUACAUGUGACUGAGCAUUAUAUGAGCUGUGAUGAUCAGCCACGAAUAGAUUCUUGUGCUAGCUGACGGUUAUCAUUUGGUAUGUUGUCAUCUUCGACAGAUCUAUUGUUUGAGCAAUUUCAUGAUUUUCACUUUUUGGUGCUGAGUGUGUGCCUCCAUAAAACUUUUGUCGUCUUUCUCCACUCCAAGAAUUUGUCGCGUACUCAUAAGUAACUCUUUCAAACGUCGCUAAAGCGCAUACCGUUUCUUUUCUGCAUGUGUUGCUGCUUAUCAGAUUGUUAGUUGGGACUUGAGGAUGACACCUCCCCUUUCUUGCGUAAUACGCUUCUCUUAUGUGUGUAUAAAAUCCUAUGAAAUUAGCUGAUUUGUUUACUACUCUCUAGAGGGCAGAUAAUCUAUAAACCACACCUUUCAACUUUCAAAUGGUUGAUAACAAACUUCUCAGGGUCACUCAACAUCUCAAAAAGGUGAACCACACCUUUCAACUUUCAAAUGGUUGAUAACAAACUUCUCAGGGUCACUCAGCAUCUCAACAAGGUUGCCUAAGUCAGCAUCCAAAUUGGCAUCUGCUAUCUGCACUCUAUGUGAAAGAGCAGAUAGAAUUGACAUCUUCUAUCCUUAGAAUCCCACACAAUGUGUUCUAUUUUGUUGGGACGUGGCGUUUUGGCUCAUAGGUGCAUAUACACCUACUAUGAAAUAUAUGUAAAAUAGACAUUUCAAAAUGCAAAAAAAAUUCGAGGAAAAACCCCGUGUGUACAUCUAGACAUUACAUGUGCGUGCACAAAGUUUCGGUGAAAAAAUACAUUUUUUGUGGCAUGAACCAAAAAAAAAUGCCUCGUGAAUAGCUGUAAUCAAGCAUAAAAAAUUGUCUUUCUUACACAAGCCACAAAAAAUGUCCUUUUUCACCGAAACUUUGUGCAGGCACAUAUAAUGUCCGGAUUUACACGCGGGGAUUUUUCCUCGUAAUUUUUUAACUUUUCAAAAUGUGUAUUUGGACAAUGGGUGCAUAUACACCUAUGAGCCAAAGCCAAUUUCCGAUUUUGUUGCUGCUAUCUGGGUGGCCUCAUUAGUCUUAAACUACCAUGUCAGUUAUCGACUUCAUUUUUUACAUAACUACAUUAAUUAGCCCAUCCAGAAGUGCGCCCCAUCUAUUUUUUGUUGGUUUAUGAAAGAUUCUGAAAAUCUACAUGGUGACUGAGCAUCUUACGAGCUUUGAUGGUCAACCAUAUGUAGAUUCUUAUGCUAGCCGGCGGUUAUCAUUUGGUAUGACAGUAGUUGUCAUCUCCAACAGUUCUAUUGUUUGAGCAAUUUCAUGGUUUUCACCUUUUGGUGCCGAGUGUAGGUUGCCUCCAUUAAACUUUUGUUGUCUUUCUCCUUGUACUUAAAAAAGCAUGUUGUGUACUCAUAACUCUUUGGAAUGUCACUAAAGCGUGUACUAUUUCUUAUCUGCAUGUGUUGCUGCUUAUGUGAUUGUUAUUUGGGACUUGAGGGUUGCACCUCCUCUUUCUUGUGUAAUAUGCUUCUCUUAUGUACGUGUGAAAUCUUAUCAAAUAAGACAAUUUGUUUGCUAUUCUGUAAGUGCAGAUAAUCCACAAACCGUUCCUUUCAACUUUCUAAUGGUUGAUAAACAAAUUUCCCAGGGUCAUUCAACAUCUCAAAAAAGUCGCCUAGAUCAGCAUCAAAAUUGGCAUCAACCUUGCGCAGUCUAUCAUUCAAAAGGAGGGAUGAGCUUCAGGAGGACUGUGAGAAUCUUCAGCAGCAGCAGAGCGAGGAUGACCCUUACCAAAUACUCGAGACUGCUUAUGUUGCACAGGUUUCUUUAAGCUGGGAGGCUAUUCAUUGUACUUACAUGCACCUGAGUCUGAUACUGGCAGCACAGCCGGAGAACCCCACCACCUAUAGCUGUGCUGCUCAAGCAUUUCAGCAGUUCCAGGUUCUGUUGCAGAGAUUUGUUGAGAAUGAACCAUUUGAGCAAGGUUCACGUUUUGAGAUAUAUGCACGUUCUCGGAGCUCCUUGUCGAAAUUGCUUCAGGUUCCCACUUUUCAAGGUAUGACACUUGGAUUAUAGUUAUUACAUUUUUAACGCAAAUGUAUCCUAUCAUUUGACAAUGAAAUUCACUACUGAUGCUAGUGCAAUCAACUCUUGAGUCCUUGUGGCAACUUAUUUGGUUUGUUAUUUAAUCUAUUUGCAUUGCCACAUUGCAACUUGUUGUAAUAGCUGUCAUUUUUUGCUUGGUCAAGAAUCAGUGUCUUAUUCUGAGUUCUGAUGGAUCACACAGUGACAACCAACAAACCACACUUAGCCUUCUGAGUUCUGAUAUAUGUAGUGGGGAGUGACAGGCUCUAACAGUCGUAAAUACACAUCAUGAUCGACUGUGUGCAUUACAUAAUUGUUUGCCAUUGGAAUACAUCACAAGACAUAAGUACAUUGCACUAGAAGUACUACUGCCUAUGUUUACUUGACACAAGGCCUAAACCGUCCAUGAGGCAGGGACCGUGUGACGAAACUAGAGGACUGGGAUCUGGAUCGGGGGUGGGUAUGAUUGAGGAUUCCUUAUUGCAGGGGUGGAUGUCGCCAUAGAUACGUCCAAAACCAUCGGGAUUUGGACUUACAGGGUUUGUGCUGCACACGGAACUUCCAAUAUGGGACAACACUAAUAUCCUUCGAGCCUUCCUUUUCUCAGCCGUCCUCCAAGAUCUAACGCUGCAGGGGCGAUCAAAACUAGCUUCCACUUAAAUGCCAAAGUUGACAAUCUAUAAUUUUUAAUAUCUGCCCACAAUCUCGAUUCGAUGGCUCUAGUUGCGCCACGUUACCCUCUCCCCUCGUUGCACUUUGUUAGCUCAGUUUGUUUUGUCUCUUUCAAAUCUACUUGUAAGGUCCCCUGCCUACCAGCUUUGCAGACUCAUCCAAUCUCCAUACUGGGUCCAGCUUGUUUCAUGCUGACUUUGUGCGUGUUUUGGAGCCACCGAAUGGUCCAUGUGAAUCUCAUAAGGCCAUCGACGGAACUCCUGUGAGCUCUGGACUGAGAAAAGAGUGAGGUCGUCCAUUUCACUUCCACCGAGGAGUUUGAUAGCUACCCUGAGGGCGUGGGAAUGAAUAGCAUUGAAGUUACUAUAUAUAGUAUGUUGUGACAUCCUGACAAUUUUACUUGUUUGCUGUAUUGGUUUUUAUUUUGUCAUGUACCUGAAAGAUGAACUCUGUUUUUACAGAUACAUAUAUCAAAUUGUUUUUUUCUUUGUCCAACUUAUCCUGACAAUUUUACUUGUUUGCUGUAUUGGUUUUUAUUUUGUCAUGUACCUGAAAGAUGAACUCUGUUUUUACAGAUACAUAUAUCAAAUUGUUUUUUUCUUUGUCCAACUUAUUACUCCCUCUGUAAGUACUCCCUACAUUAGUAAGUACUCCCUCCGUCCCAUAAUGUAGGACGUUUUUUGACACUAGGGAGUACAUUCUAUCUGAUUAUGUAGACUGGUAUUGCCCUUUCGUACAUGAACGUGGUACUAAGAUGUAACAGAAAGAUGUAUUUUGAAAAUACCGGCAGUGAAUUCACAAUGGUUUGUGGAUACAUUGGGUAUAUGAGUAAGUAAACUAAGACGGAGAACAGCUAAGAUGUCCAAUAUGAUCUAACACUGUUCUGAUGUGCAUUUGUUGGUAUAGUCGGUACUAGAGUAACAGCUUGGAUGUUUCAGUGAAUAGGUCAUAUCUUAAAUGUCACUUACGGUGAAAGCAUGCCUAAUAGUUUCGGUUUCAAAUGCCACUUAUUUUCAAAUAAGAAGGUGCAUAUGGCAUUGUUUUUAAGGCAUCCCGCUUUGGACGCUUAGGCAGCACCUUAGAAUUUUAACCACCUUAGGCGGUUAGGCAUCAAGGCUGUGAGUGCUUGCCUUGGGACACCUUACCACCAUAAGAACAUUGGUAUAUGGAAUUGUUUCCUAGCACUUCCUCUAGCCCAAAUCGAUGCAGUUUCGGGUUUUGUUCAGUCAAAUUUUGGCUCCCAAUAUCUGUUCAACUGUUUAGUUUGGAUACAUGAAUAACAUACACCGUCAUUUGGUAUUGUUUGCGACAGGCGUAAAUUUGGUCUUGAGAAGUAACUCUAAAAUUUUGCUUGUUAUAAAUAUAAUACAGUGGAAUUACUGGUCAAAGAUCACUUUGGGAGCCAUGUUGAUAUCCAGGAAGUUGUAUCUGAAAAAAUGGCGUGAUAAAGCUCAUGCUUGUACGAGACAAUAUGGAUAGUGAGAUAAUUCUCAUAUUGUUGUGAGGCUGCAUGAUUCCUACUGUUGAUAAUUGCUAUGUGUAUGCUGUUCUAUACAUGGAAAUAUGUCCCCCAUAAGUACAAGUUAAUUUGCAACAACUUCAGUUAUUCUUACUUCCCCUACAGGCUUAAUCAUGGUGGAAAUUGUUAAGCUUUACUAUGUUGUAGGGGAAUGGUUGGUAGAUCUCAGACAUCUUGUUUAUACUUAUACACACAUGGAUUGUAUUUGUCAUAUCAGAUGAGAUCAUACUGGGUCCCUUUGCAGGUUAUUUUGAGUGUGGUUCUCUUUGGCUAGUACUAGGUGAAUAGGACAGUAAGUAGAUUAUCAUUGAAUGGCGUACACAUAAUGCACAUGCUACAAGCCAAUUAAAUCUUCUGUACACUGUGGCACCAUUAAUGGUUGAUAAUGUACGGUUGGUGAAUCUGGGUUUUUUUCUGUUUCGCAUUCAUCUGUGGCCAGUCAGUUUUGUAACAUCAUUCAAUAACUUGGACGAUGGCAACACUUGAACCCUAAGAGCCACAUGUUGCCUACUUUUAAGAUCCAUACAUAUGCUCAGCAUAUGACUAAGUGGCCAAGAGAAGUUUAGGAGCUGUACCUGCAAAUUUAAGAUUUGUCAGUUGGCAUGCCCAUGAACUUCCUCAUUGAUUGCAUAUAAAUUCCAAGAAUUUUGUCAGUCUGGACUGGUUGCAGGACUUGGUUAAAAGUUCUAUUAACUAGAUGCUGCAGCUAAUGUGUUAGUUGAAACAAAGUAUUUUACUUCCAUAUAAUGCUUUUGCUAAAUGAGCGAUGGAUUCUUACUGAUGUGAUGUGCUUAUGUGCAAAGUGUGUAAAAUCCCAUAGCAAAAUCCUUUGAUCUGAUUUUAAUUUGAUCAUCCAGUAAGGCAAGUCCUGAGUGCAAUACUCUUAAUGUUUCUAUUUUUGCUGCAUCGUAGUUUUGUUUCCUUGAUAUGGAGAAGUAAGCUUUUGUCUGUUAUGUUGUACUUAUAUUUUAGAGCUAUUUUUUCUAUCUUUGCAUCCUGCCUGUCACAGAGUACCCUUCUACCACUGCUUGUAUAACAUACUUUUGGCAUCUUUUUGUAUACUUGCUGUUAUACGCAUUUUGAUAUGUCAUAUCGCUUUUCGUUCCUUUUUUGCCUAUUCAGUUGCAGACGGGAAAGAUAAUGCUGAAGACCAAACGGAACCAAUCUUGGCACCUGACCUCAUGAAAUUAUUAGAGGAGUGUAUCUUAACUUUUCGUGUUUUCCUGAAGAAGGACAAGAAAAAGAGCAGUGUCCUCAUGGGUGUUCAUGGCCAUACUGGAAGUUCCAUUCAGCAAGUCCAGUCCUCUCUGGAUAAGGUUAGACUUAAUACUCUCGUCAAAAAACAGUUCUGUUUAUCACCGGGUAUUUUUUCAGUUCCUUGUCGCUACGUUCCAUUGCAUUGGUUAAAUAUGAUCUCUUUGUUCAAUGAUAAUACUAUUAAAAUCCACCUAUUAGUAGAAUGCAUAUUUCCUAACGCACCUGUGACGUUCAUCGAAUAUGGAACGAACUUUUGAAGCAUACUUUUAUGGAUAUGGUGUGCGGUUGCAGCGUUCACGUGAUACUAUUUGCAUUGCUAAUGCAUAUAUCUCCAAACCCGCAGAAGGAGAUGAAGGUGAAAGAGCUGUUCAAGAAGAAAAAGGGUUGGAAGAGCAAGACCUGGCCGACCACAAUGGAGGAAGUCCAGCUGCUGUUUGCCCUGACAGACAUCAAAGUGGUGUCGAGGGUCCUGAGAAUGGCAAAACUGAGCAAGGAGCAGCUACUGUGGUGCGAGGAGAAGAUGAGCAAGCUGGACCUCUCCGACAACAAGCUGCGGCGGGAUGGAUGCCCUAUCCUCUUCCCCUGCUGACGCAUUCUCUUUGGCAGUGUUCGUUCGUUUGGCCCCUCUGCAGAGCAAGCGAGCAUAGCUGCUUCCUGAGCUGAUAUAUGUACAUCUUAGGCUGGAAUGUUUAUACUAAAGUCAAGUGUAGUACCCUACCUAAAAGGAGAUUGGUGUUCCAAUCCAGUUCUGUUGCUCUGCAUUAGUUUGGGGUUUUUAUGCAGCAUGGCAACAGCGUAUGGUAACCAGCUGGUAAAUUCAGAAAUAAACAUCUGGUAAAUUCUGAACACCGUUGCAAACUGUGAAUGGAAAAAAAAAAUCAGCUGGAUAUGCAGGUAUUGGCACAUGAAGAAGGCUUGUCUCAUGUUGGGGCUUGGGACCAGAGCUGUGCUGGACCCCCGCAAGCCAGUUUCUCAGCUGAAUGGUGGGCCUCCUUUGCAAGUGAAGCUUAAAAUGUGGCGCAUCAUCACAGCCAGAACCAGCAUCAGCCAAAGCUCAUGAACGCAUCAAAUGGCUACCACCAAAUUCCUGCUGCCUCGGCCUUCAAUGGUGGGGGUCAUCAAUGCGGUUGUGUGUGUGCCUGCACUGCAUGCAUGCAGUGUAAGCAAACUGAUCCUUCACUGUGCCCUGCGAUUCAUGUGCCAUAAAACUUCACUGUGCAGAUUCACAUCUCUCUCUCUCUCCCUCCCUCCAUGGACCACUUUGACAUUGACACUGUCACACUAGCAUUACUCUUUACCUGCCGAUCCCAUUUGGAAACUUUGUUGAGACUUUCCUCGAGAGCCGAAUCUGACGGCGAUGGCAUCUUCCAACUGUAACCUUGAUGGAAUUCCUCGGUGUAAUGCAGGGCUUGCCAUGUACUCCCACCGUACCAACUGGAUGCAACAGGUCAUGUGAUGAAGGCAGGAGUAGCUAUUCUUCAGUGCUGAGUGCUGACUGACAGAAAGAGCAGAGACACUUUACUAGUUCGAUCCUUUCUUAUACUACUAGUUGCUCUACAGUUUUCACCGGGAACAGAGCGGACACGGUUUCUAUUUUUACCCAGAGGGAUUUAAUAAAACGGCCGUUUUGGUAGGUAACAUGGAUGAGAAAAAAAAGAUUGAACCAAAUGCAGGACAUGGACCGGAGAAGUACAGAUGAACUCAUUUGGAUCUUAGCUCUUGUAGCCAUGCCGUGAGCAGCCGUACUUGAAGCCUUGGACUUCCUGGCAUCACUGGCAGUGAGUGACUUGUGCGUGCACCAGUCAGUCCAGCUUGCAGUCCAACUAGGCCAGUACUACACAUACAGUGUGCAACAGUACACGCAGUAUAACAUGAGCAGCAGAUCUACUCGCCGGAGGCACAGUGUCAUCAUAAACCCGUGCAGGUGCAAGCCCUGGUUUUACUGAUGGGAGGAGUAGAAAAUAGUUUACUGUCAGCUUUUCUCUUCUGCAGGGUUUUCUUGAUCAUUUACACCAGCCCCAGCCCAUCUUACAAAAAUUGCAUGCCCAGUACAACUGCACUGGUAAAUCGCAUUUUCAACGCAAAAAGGCGCUGUUAGAGAAAAAAGCGAGCCCGAUCCAAUGGAUGACAAAUUGACCGGCGGGCCGAGGCUACAGCAUGGACGCAUGUGUGUUGAUUGGACACUGCACUGCUGGGUGGAGUUUAGUAGUACUCGUAGGAGUACUGGUUGCUCUCGCAGCCGCAGAUAAUUCCAGUCUUUCUUUUCCUCUUUUUUUAUAUUUCACUGUGAUGGAUGGUCCACAUGGUAUUGAUGGAAAGAGCAAGUUAAGAUUCUUGCUGUGUCCUCAGGGCUGGGCAUUUGAUUAAGGGUAAGUUCUGCCCCUGUGCCGUGGAUCUAGCGGCAGUAAAUCGAUUAAUUAACUAGUAGGGAGGACACAUUUGGCCAUGUUUCUGGCAAUCAUGUCUUCUUGUUCUCAUGAUCCACGAGACUUUGGGGAAAGCGUGCGGUGGCUUGUUGUGCUUGUCAUUUCUCAGGUUCUACUCUAAGCUGACUACAAUGCUGACCGGCUGGAGUGACCUAGCCAAGUCCUGGUGUGAGAUGAAGAACUGUUAUAUUCCCUUGUUCGUUCUCUUUUCUUUUCAAGCAAGAGAUGGGCACAACCAGAUUAAAAAUAAAAAGUUCUUACCAUGCCAGGCAAAGACCUUAUUUGUCUGGGUUUUCUUUUUUGAAGAGUUAUUUGUCUGGUUUAGCAUGCACAUUUUGUGGCAUUUCCAUGUAUAGCGUCUCUUCAAUUAAUAGCCACCUAAAAUUUCAACUUCAGAGUUAUUAGACGGGCAAUUCUGAAAGACUAUAUUUGUUUUGAUUUCUGCAUUCCCAAUUUGCGCUUGGAUGAUCUAUGUAUCACUAUCCGAGGACGCAUAGCCAUUCAUCUGCAUGCACAGUUCCGUAAUGAUCAUGGGAGAUAAUAAUAACUGAUCGAAAAGGCUGCCUUUCAGUGAGAAAACCCGGGUGAAAAGGGGGGCCAUCUUUCAGCCAGCAGCAUUUCUAUCUUGCCAAGUUUCCUUUUGGGAAAAGGAUUAUAGUAAAAGACAAAUAAGGAUCACAGUUCGUUUGUCGACCUAUGGGCAGAGGCAUGGGUUUUGGUCGAACGGGCAGGCACCAAUCUAAAAGCAUACUAGGGCAAGAUAAAGGUUCAGAAGGAGCAAGGACAUGCGGAGGAAUCUUUCACCUCUUUUGCUUUUCUUCGUUGCUCUUCCGAGACAGGCAUGCAGAUGCAUGCUAACAAACCGUGUUUUAUCUUUUUUGAAAAUUCCCAUGCACGCUCUUCUCCAUCCCCGUCCAUACGAUGGAAGAGACUUUCCGAGCCGCUUUGGGGGUGAAAAAAGAGAGGAAAUAUUCUUCUUUUGCAGAAGAAAUAUCAUGUGUCGUGUCAUGGCGCAAACGUCCCGGCUGAGAAAACAAGCUUCGUUUUUAACCAUGAGCGCACGUACGGAGCCUUCUUGUCGUCGUCGUCGCCGUCGCCGGGUUCGGCCUCCACCUGACACUGAUAGGCUGAUGCCGUGUACGUGGAGAGGACGGCGCGGCGUCCAUACCGUGGUAUUUUUUCUUACUUUCUGUGCUAGUGUUCACAAAUAUACGUAAGAUGUUUCAACUUUCUAUGAAUCAGAUGUAUAUAGACAUGUUAUAAUGUGCUUGUUUACUCAUUUUGAUCUGUAUCCAAGCCUUGGCAAGGGCUCAAUUUUUUUUUUUUGCGAGGGCAAGGGCUCAACUUGAUCGUGGACAAAAAGGUGGAUCAAGCUUUUGGGAGUCUAGUUAAAUGAAAGAUUGGAUCGGGAGACACAACCUUGUUUUGGAAAGACCGGUGGUUACAUGGCGCAACAAUCACUGAUAUUACCCCCUUGGUUGUGGCGAUGGUUCCGACUGGUGCGUGAUGCUAUGGGCAUGCAUGCUUGGAUGAACGAGGUAGUGGGUAACCCAGUUCAUUGGACUUUGGGAGAUCAUUUCGGAGGUUCAAUUGGAUGAAUAGUUGGAGGAUCGCCCCAUCUGGGCUUGGAACGCGUCAGGAGUUUACACAACAUCAUCAGCCUACACGAUGCUAUGCGAGGGAGGAGUGAGAUUUUGCUCUUUCGGAGUCAUAUGGAAAUGUUGGGCUCCACUUGCGUGCAAGAUCUUCAUGUAGCUGGCAGUGCAAUACCGACUGUGGACGUCGGCUAGAAGGACGAGACAUGGUUUGCAAGACCAAACAUCAAAAUGCUACUUAUGUGACCAGGAGGAGGACACGGUUGACCACAUAUUGCAGCAGUGUGUGUUCUCGCGGCAAGUGUGGCACCGUUGCAUUGCUAGGAUGGGUUUGAGGAUUGAGCUUUGCCCUGCAAAUGACUCACGGUUGGUGCAAUGAUGGACGGAAGCUAGGAAACGAAUACACACGCAAACUCAGAAAGGAUUUGACACAUUCGUGAUGCUAAUCUGCUGAACACUAUGAAAACAGAGGAACACGAGGGUGUUCGAAUCGGGCCAGAUCAAGAAUGAGUGGGAUACGGUGGACAUGAUCUUCGACGAUUUGAGGACUUGGGCCACGACAGGAGCGUUUGGAGGACAACUAGUAUCAGAGUAGUCGAGUAGCGUGAGGGAGUGGGGUGGAGGCUUGGUUAUGGUCGACUUGUGACACCUAACUAGCGAAAUUGUAAUCUCUUGUACAUAUUAUUCUCUUUUCUAUAAAGCUAAGGGCCUGUUCUGAUCUCCUCCAACUUCACAAAUCCAGCUUCCCUAGCCAGCUUCACGCUUCAUCUGGCGAUUCCCGAACGUUCUGCGUCGUGUGCAGCUUCUCCCAUCGCUGCAGUCCAGCUGGGAGGUUGUGGGCCUAUUGGGCGCUAUUGGGCCGGUUGGAGGCAGCCCAGUAUGGGCUAGGCAUCGAGGGAAGCCGCCCCUGUACCGAUUCGAUGGAGAGCGAGAGGAGCGUUAUGUUUCGUGCGAGCGUACCGGUUCGCUGGCUUGGACUUGGCGGUGGCACUUCGGUUGUAAUACUGGCCAGCUCCAGCUUUUCCCAUCGGUGGAGCUGGGCCGACGCUGCUCCAGGAUUUUGCACUGCCAUCGGGCAAAACUUCGAGAAGCCAGCUUCUCGUAGCAAAACUGUUCAGGACAAAUUCAUAUGUGAAGUUUGUGAAGUGUGGAGCUGAAGGACUUCAGAACAGACCCUAAGGUACGCCAUUGGCGUACCCUUAAUUUUUUUGAUUUGUAUGUAGUUCAUAUCGAAAUAUUCAAAGCGUCUUAUGUUUGGGAAUGAAGGGAGUAGUUGGACGGAUGCACCGUGGAAGAUAAGAGAAGCGAAGCUUGUAGUAGAUGGGAGAAGGACGAACACAUGGACGGUGAGAUUAUUAUUCCUUUUAUAUGCUAUUAAGAUAUACUAGUGCAAGCCACACCACUUAGUGCAUGGGCAUAAACGAACCUUCGUCUGAAAUUGAGUAAGCCACAAAAGAAAGAUAGGGCAUCUAUUCUGUUCUCUUGGGUGAGUCUUGCUUUUCCUCCAUAAUUUUUAUUUUUUUCCAAGGCCAAAAUUGCGUGUGGGGUUCACACCUUACGCAUGCAUAUGCAUGCAUGGCUGCCAGGAGCCACGUGCAGUGCUACUACAUUAGUUACUCCGUUUUUCUAAUCUGUAUCUAAAAUUUGGUCAAAGUCAGACUUUGCUAACUUUAAUUAAAUUUAUGAAGAAAAAUAUCAAGAUUCGCAAUAUGAUAUCACUAUUAUUAGAUGCAUCAUGAAAUUAAUUUUUAUAUCAUUUAGCUUUAGUAUUAUAGAUGUUGAUAUUUUUUUUAUAAAGUUAGUCAAACUUUACAUAAUUUGACUUUGACCUAAUAUUAUAUGAAGACUAAAAAGAAACGCUGGGAGUUUGUGGGUAUUCUUUUAAUUUAUUUUUUUAUGAUGAUCAGGCCGGUUUCUUUGGUUUACACUUGGAAGUGUUUGUUAGAGCCUCCGAGGGCGUUUGUGGGUUUUUUUUCUAUUUUUCUUUUAUGAUUUGGGUUUUGUUUUGGUGGUACAGCUACAAUUGAAUCGCCGCCUAGUAGCUAGCGAACGUGAGAAGCGUGAGGCGUGCAGAGCGGCAUGCAUGCAUGAACCGACCUGAUCACCAUAAUACUUAAGCGAGAAGCUUCGUUUGUUUGGCAUGGAACUCUUUGAUCCGCAGGAAUUUAUUUUAAUUAAUUUGCAUGAAGGAUCCAAUUUUGAGGGGGCUUUCGUGCUGGAAAUGCCGUGCAUGUCGCAGCUGGCCUCUUUGUUUUUACCAAGAACCUUUUCAUUGCGAUUAAAAACCCGGACCCAUAACACCAAAUCUCCUACUACUAAUGCAAUGAAUUGAAGCCUGGAGAUCGCAGGGCAUCCGGAUACCCACUCCCUCACAAGGAUCCAAAAACCAUCGUCAUGGUCAUACUUCAGUUUCUAGUUGCGUAGCGCCACAAGUGCUGUCGCAUUGCAUACCUCCAAACGCCAUGAAUUUUCGCACUCGUCACAAGUUCUUAGUAAAAAAAAGCACCCCCAGCCCCCGCCCUCGUCUCUCUGUAAUAACAAGAAUGUAAAAAUUCUCGUGUGAGAAAAGACAGUUCUCCGAGCCGGAAGUUUCCUCAAGUGCACAAACAAACCUACUACUGAGAGCCCAAUUUUUUCCAUAAAAUGGCAGAGAGUAAAUGGGCAGUAGGGCUAAAAAAAGAGGAAAAUGAAUGAGUAGGGCAUUAUUGGGAAAUAACAGCAAGCGUAGGGUCAUACCCCCCAAUUCAUCCGUCCGCCCCCGCUUUUCUCUCUCCUCCUCCUUCGGUGACCUCCCCUCCUUUGCAGUCUUUUGACCGUUGUUGCCCCUCCCCUCCCCUCCCUUCUCUCUCUCUUCCCCCUCUGCCACUGCCACUGCCACUGCCACCCACACUCCUCUCCGCCCUCUCUCUCUCUCUCUCUCCCCACAAAUCUUUCUUCGACCCCUUGUUCUUGUACACACCCACCCAAGGGGUUUGAGGUGGUCGUAGAGAAGAAGGUCCUCCUUCAAUCCCAGGUAUAGACCUCCCUCACCUCACCUGAUCCUAUUUUUAAUCUCUUCUUGUGUAGGUUCGCAUUGCCUUGCCCCUCCUUUUGUCCCCACCUCCCCUUUUGUUUUGUUUAAUGUUGGCCAUUGAUGCGGUUGGGUGAGAGGUUUCCUGGGCCAAAGUAGAGAGAGAAAGUGCUGCGUGUGUGCUUGAGAGAGAGAGAGAUGUUCUUCAUCCAUAGAGAGAGAAUUUCGUGAUUCCCCUCUUUGAGCGCUCCAAGAACAUGUACGUAUCUAUCUAGUAGUAUGCCCCUGGUUUCUUCUUCUCUCUCUCUCUCUCUCUCUCUUUCUCUCUCCCAGCAGUCUCCUCUGCAUCGCUCUCUGUUUUUCCCUGUCUUUGCUUCACCCACACUUCAGAAUGAUGUGUUCCUGUACUGUGCACCUGAUCUUUUUCCAUACGAUUUUUAUUUUGCCUGCUGUUUAAUGUGGCUAGCCGAGAAUUCAGCAGCCGUUUCUUGUUGAUUAUUGCUGCCACAGCUGUGGUGCUCUCUUCUUUUUUUACUGCGACAGUUGUGAUGCUCUCUUCUUUUUUACCCGAGAUUUCAUCGUCUCCACCUUCCCCCUCGCGCAUCAUCAGAUACCGUGUUCUAGUUUCUUUCGGUUCUGUAGCGGAUAACGGAGGUAGUCUAAUGCACUUCCUUGUUCCCGGUAUCUGCUCCAUGAUUUUUAUCUAUAUUUUUGCAUUUCCCCUUCAAUUCUCCUUGCUUCAUCUGGUUCUGAAAAUUUCAGAGCGAGGAUUGCCUUUCCUGCAAGCGUUGUGUUUUUUUGGUUCGGCUCCGUAAUUUCUCCAUCUGUUCCGUGCCUUGGUUAAGCAAGAUGCAACGCAACGAGCACUGAUGCGCCUCUGGUUUGUCCUGUCCAGCAAAUAUCUUAAUUUUUCCAUUCCCUUCCGUGGUUCCACUCGCAGGUUGGCAAGAGCAAUUGAACUAGUACUCUUUUCCCUUGUGGGCAGUUUACCAAGAGACAAGUGUUAUUAUUACCCAUCAUCAUCUUCAGAGCUUUCUUGUAAUCUUCUUCUUGUUACAGCAUUUUUCUUUACCUUUUGCCCAACCGCUUAAGCACCGGAAAAUCAGUCCACCAUGGAGAUGUGGGAAUUUAGUCCAUCCGGGCCAACACUUCUGUUUGCCUACUGACCCCUCAUUUCACCUUCAAGAUAUCUUUGCAUUGUGUUUUUCUGGCUGCUUGUGAUUCGUGGACGGUACAAGAUCGUUGUUUGUGCUAAUUUCACUGCGGAAAAACAAAUGCUGUUUUGAAUUCCAAUGUUUCAUUAGUUUUACCCAGCACCGUCCUGGCUCUGUUAUCUUCAAUGCACUGAACUGAAUUCAGUAUAGAUAUCGAGUCAGCUUACCGUAGCCAUGAUUAUGCAAGUAGGCAGUAGGACCGAUCAUGUCUUGCUGGGCCAAGGUUACAUUCCUAACUUUCUUGCUUUCUUAGCCCUCGUUUAGGAGGAAGGAAUGUCGCUGCUAGCUAACCGAAAAAUGUGUAGGGUAUGUUUUGUCAGUGGGGUAUUUCGUUUCCAAAGGGACAUCUUUCUAUGGUGUUGUAGCUCUCACUGUCUUUUGAGAAGAGCAUUUUUUGGGUCUUGUGAGAAGUAGUUGCAUUUCAUGUUAGAUCCCAGUAGUCAAUCCCAACACUCCUGAUAGCCUGUUGCUGGUGAAUAACCUAUGCCUGAGUUCCCUUUUGACACACAAUUUGAUUGCUUCUGAAAUGUCUGGAAUUUGCUCCUGAAAUGUCUGAAAUUUGCCUGAUUGUAGGUUGUUCAUUGGCUUCAGAUGCAAUGCACAGGUUGACAACAACUGAGCACUCUACAGUAUCAGGUAAUUUCUGCACUUACACAUGAUGCCUGGUUUACUGAAGCUGAAACUUACCUGCCGCUUUCCUUUUUUUGUUUUUUCACAUGUAAAGGCUCAGAAGUUCUUCCCGGGGCAUGACAUAUUCCUGACAACACAAGACUCUGGAGACAUGGGAUGUGCUGCUUCCAGAUUGGAAGAUGAGGAGGCUGUUAAGAUGUGCCGGGACAGGAGGGACUUCAUCAAGCAGGCACUGGAGCAGCGAAACCGUUUUGCGUCCUCUCACAUCGCCUACAUCGAGUCCAUGAAAUGUGUUUCGAUGGCCCUACAGAGGUUCGUCGCUGGAGAUGAUCGGCACGAGCUCAUUUUUGACCCAUUCAUCUCUCCUGUCAAGCAACAGAAGCCAGAGAUGCUCGGCCUUCCUUAUGGUUCGUAUGAGAAGAGGACUGUUCAUGUCGCCAAGUACUUGAUGUCAGGACCAAACCCAUCAGUGUCAGUUGAAGAGGCUCCACGGCCCGUGGAAACAAUCCGUGUUGAGUCACAUUACCCUGUGGAUAGCUAUGGUGGCACAGAUAGAUCCUUCCCGGCGACUUCCUCACCGAUGAGGCCAUCUUCUCACUAUACACCUUAUGACAGGCCAAGCUAUGUACCUCCAUUACCCCAGGAACCAGUGAGGAAUGCUUAUUACAUGCCACCUUAUGAGAGGCCAAACUACGCACCUCCAUCAUCCCAGGAGCCAGUGAGGAAUUCUUCUUAUUACAUGCCACCUUAUGACAGGCCAAACUACGUACCUUCAUCACCCCAGGAUCCAGUGAAGAAUUCUUCUUAUUACAUGCCACCUUAUGCUCCACCACCCCAGGAGCCAGUGAGGAAUUCUUAUUACAUGCCACCUUAUGAGAGGCCAAACUACGUACCUCCAUCACCCCAGCAGCCAGUGAGGAAUUCCUCUUAUUACACGCCACCUUAUGACAGGCAAAGCUAUCCACCUGCUCCACCCCAGGAUCCAAGGAGGACAUCUUAUUACGCAUCUCAUGACAGGCCAAACUACCCACCCUCAUCACCCCAGGAACCAGAAUCAUCACCGUGGGACUCCUUCUGGAAUCCAUUCUCGCCGCUGGACAGCUAUCCGUACCCGCGCCCUCGGAGUAGCUAUGACAAUGUGGUCACUGACGAUGAAUUGGCACGGUUACAGCAGGUAAGAGAGGAGGAAGGAAUCCCAGAACUCGAAGAGGAAGAUGAUGAAUGUCAAAAACAUGAACAAAUGCACAACAAAGAGGGGGAGGGGGAGGGGGAGGGGGAGGAGGAUGAUGAAGAAGAAGAAUCUGAUGAGGAUGAUGAUGAAGAAGAAGAAUCUGAUGAAUGUGAGCAUUCAGAUGACCAAAGAUGUAUGGCUUCUAACGAGGCUCGCCCAGGAAAAUCUGAAGUCAAUGUCAAGCAAGAACAAAAGGGACAUCAAUCCAAAGGUGUUCAAUGCGCAGGCUCAUCCGAGCCCCGAAAUGCAGUAGACCAUGAGAUCAAGGCACAUAAGAAAGAACUAAGGAGGAACAAAGUAGCAAAUGCAGAAGAAACCCCAGGUUUCACUGUGUAUCUGAACCGAAGGCCAACGAGUUUGGUCGAGGCUAUGAAAGAUAUUGACAGUCAGUUCUUGGGGAUCUGUGGCGCUGCUCAGGAAGUCUCACGGAUGUUGGAGGCAAGUCGAGCUCAAUACCCAACCUCAAAUGAUCUCUCUGGUACCACUUUUAUAAACCAAUACCGAAGUUAUUAUUUAAAAUGUUUCAGAUUUCAGUCGCUGAACUUCCUCAUGAUUUUUUUAAUGCAGUAAAGAUGCUAAACCCAGUCGCACUUUUGCGAUCUGCAUCAAUUCGAUCAUCAUCUUCCCGCUUCCUUCUUGCUUCCUCUGGCUCAAUAGAUGAUCUUUUUGACAAUGAUACAAACAGCUGUUACUCUGAAGAAUCUUGCAGCACAAUGUCUGGAAGUCAUCACUCCACUCUGGAUAGACUGUAUACAUGGGAGAAGAAAUUAUACAAAGAAGUGAAGGUACGAUCUUUGUCACCGUCACGAACCUAUACCAACAGAUCAGUAGAACCGACUAGCGGAAGUCAUGCCUUUGUCACUUGUAGGUGGGUGAGCGAUUAAGACUUGAGUAUGAGAAGAGGAUGGCACAUUUGCGGAGCCAGGAUGUGAAAGGGGAGGAGCCUUCUUCUGUCGAUAAGACUCGUUCAGCGUUGAGAAGCUUACAAACUCGGAUGAAGGUGUCAAUACAAACUGUUCAGUCAAUAUCAAGAAGAAUUGAAGUUCUAAGAGACGAGGAGUUGCACCCUCAACUUAUGGAGCUUAUCCAAGGGUAUGCUUUUGCUCACCAUUGUGAAGUUAGUACAAUUUUUAUAAGCCAACAUUUCAUAAAUAAUAUGUUAAUUGGUCAAACAAUGGGCAUAGUCCAAUCAAGCAAGAGUAGAUGAUGGCCAGCCAGGCAGCCACGACUUAAAAAUGUCAUGGUUCCUAUACUUGGAAUUUACUGAUGAUAUGAUAUCGCUACAAUUUUCAGCAAAGGGUGAAUAGCUGUUGGGUUAUUGAUCAUAGUAGGCAUGCUGAUGUAGGAAUGCACGUGAAUUUAAGGGAUCUUGCCUGAUCGUAGCCUUUGAUAGUAACAGAGCUAUUCUUGCAUUGUGCAGACUGUCGCGGAUGUGGCGAGCCAUGGCUGAACGCCACGAGGCUCAGAAGCGGACCAUCGACGACGCCAAGCUUCUCUUCCUCCAACACCGCGCAUCGGCGGCGACCACCAUGGCUCUCGGUCCUCCAGAGGCGACGACACCGCCUCCUGCCGCCAUCGCCCUCGAGUGCGAGGUGCGAGCCUGGCGUGGAGCCCUGGACGCCUGGCUGUUGGCGCAGCGCGCGUACGCGCGCGCCCUGGCCGCCUGGGCACGACGCUGCCUUGGCAUUGGCGCGGGCGCCGCUGCGCCGGGCACCGUGCCCCCGGCGUUCCUGGUGUGCAUGGAGUGGGGGCUCGCCGUCGAAGCGGCGUCGGAGGCGCGGGUGAUGGACGGGCUGGACUUCUUCGUGGCCGGCGUCGGGUCGGUGUGCUCGGGAGCUGCCGCGGGCAUGGAGGGCAUGGCGGGGCGCGUGCUCUGCGCCGGCUUGGGCGCCGUCACAGGCGCCAUGGCCGAGUUCGCCGCGGCAUCGGCUGACGGGUACGACGCCGCGGUGUCGGCGGCGGUGGCCGCGCGCGCGCCGGAGGGCGGGGAGGAGGAAAACGCGGGAGGACCGCCGCAACAGUAGGAAAUUCCGCAAAACCGUGGAUAAAUUGUUUUUUUUUUGGAGUUGGAACCGUGGUGUUACAUGUAGCUAGGAAGUUGAAGCAUGCAGUCACAUGUGUAAUUUUGUAGCUAAAAAUGCAAUUGCAUGGCUGAUUAUUGGGAGGGAUGGUUCCCCCAGUUUAUACUAGCAGCAGUAGCAGUGUUACCUUAUCCCUGGUGUUUUUCGUCGUACUGAAGUCUGAAUGGUUUUUGGUAUUCUGAUGAUUUCUUUUCUACUGUAUAAGCGCCACGUUAAGCAGUUUAGAGCAUUUUAGAUUAGUUUAGAGCAUCCGCGGAGGUUGCGUGAACGGUUAGGAGAGGCAAAAAUUGAAGAGGUGAGGCUAGACCUAAGUCAACUCAACUCAGAUUUAACCAAGUCUCAACCAAGUCUCAGUCAAGUGACAAAAAAUAUAAAAAGAUAUUUCUUUUUGCAUGGAUCUUCACGCAAGAUCUCGAAAUAUAGUAUCGACUGAGAUUUAACAAUUUUGAUAUUAAAAUCGCAUGAUUGUAAGUUCAACCCCCGUGGCAGAGGUGAUGAACAUGGCUAGCCCCCUAGUAUCUUAGGUUUCUCAUGUGUUGUGGCGACCCUGCAGGAAUCCACUAUAGCCAAUCUAGGGAAGGACAUCCCGCCCUCUCCUACGCCGGAGUAGUGCCCUAGAAUUAGAAAUUCUUCGCACAUGGUGAAUGUGCGUCACCUGGGCCACAUCUCUAUCGACAACGUCGAAUUCAAGGGUAGCGGGAUGGCAGAAGCCUCGACAAAGAACAUAGGACCUAACCCAACAACAAAGAUGAUGCUCUUCUCCAAAGGAUGGAGAUCACAGAAGAGUAAGGAGAGGUGGUGGAUCUCUCGGGACUGGUUGGGACGCCCACAUGGGAGAUGCUUUGGGCGAUGAUUCUUAGGGUUUGUGUUUGAACUCCCUUCAGCCAUACGAUGCUCUUCAUCGCCAUGCAAGUUGCCUGGGGUUGCUCAAAGGAGGUCAAAUUUAGGCCCUUCGAUGACUACACAUUCAUAACUUAGUUUCUAUGCUUUGGAAGUGGAAUAUUGCAAUGCAUGAGGACCGUGGUUGUUCAGUCAUCAGCCGACAGGGUUUAGUUCAAUUCAAAUGAAACAUAUGCAUUUAUCCUAUGAGGGGGCUUAGGCAAGGGGGGUCCCCUACCGACUUCCAUGUUCUUGAUUUUGUGCUAAGGGUUUAUUUAGUUUUCUAGCACAUGAGUAGGAGAUCGGCGGUGUCCAAGGGCUUAGGGUGUGCCGUAGUGCACCAUCAAUUUCAUGCUUGUUAUUUUCUUAUGACUACCUAAUCUUGAUGAGAGCGGAUGCGUUGAAUGCCAUGACACUCCCGAAUGCUCUAGAUAUGUAUCAUGGAAGCUUUGGGCAGUUGGUCCGCAAUGCAAAGACCAUUUUUUUUCCAGCCCUAAUACGACCAUGGAGGUAUGUGAUGAGGUAUGUGCAUAGCUUAACAUUGUUUUAGAGGCAUUGACUGAUAAGUAUUUGGGAUUACCACCAUUUGAUCGUAGUGGUUGCUUCCAACAUCUUUUUGAUAGACUUUGUGCACUUACCAAUGGUUGGCUAUCAAAGAUGUUAUCUCUUUGUGUAGGGGGGGGGAGAUGUUAUCUAUUAGUUGGAAAGAGAUACUUCUGAAGGUAGUUGCAUAGGCAAUCCCAGUCUAUGAUAUGUCUGUUUUUAAUAUCUCAAAGUAUAUAUGUAAGGUCGUCUGUGAUGCUAUUGCUAGAUUCUGGUGGCAUGGCACUUCAAGGUAAACGAAAAUUGCAUUGGAAGGUGCGAUGGAAAAUGUGUGUUCCAAAAAAUGAAGGUGGCAUGGGGUUUGAAGACUUACAUUGUUUCAAAAAAGCAAUGAAAACAGUGUUGGAGAUUAUUGUCUGAACCAUAAUCACCAUGUUCUCAGGUCCUUCAAGCCAAGUUUAUCUAGAUUAGGACUUAUGUAAGGCUAUGUUGAAGAACGAAUCAUCAUAUACAUGGCAGAGCAUUCUAUUUGGUUUGAAAACUCUUAAACACGGAGCUAUAUGGCGACCUAGAGAUGGUGCAAUGAUUAAUUUUUUGAAGGACGAUGAAUCCCGAUGAGCCAUGAUCACACCAUAAUUACUCAUGGGGACAGUGUUUGUUAUAGAUAGUUCAUGACUUAAUUGAUCCAAUUUUAGGGAACUAGGAUGUGCAAAUGAUCGAGGAUAAUUUUGGCCACUUGACGUUGUGAGAAUUCUUCAAAUCCCUCUACCUUCACAUGAUCAAUCAAACUUUAUUGCAUGUCAAUUUACCAAGUCAGGAUGCUUCACCAUGAGAUCGGCGUACCAUGUGGCUUGGAGGAAAGAGAAUAUAGAUUGAGGGUCUGACUUAAUGUGGGAGAAGGAAGGAUGGGUCCACAUCUGGUUUGGAAGUUUUUCUGGGGAAGAUCUGUAUCCUCGAAAGUUCAUAUUUUCAAUUGAAGGGUUUUGCACGGCAUAGUUCCCUGGUGUUGCACGUUGGCGGAUCAACAUAUAAAACUCUAGUUGUAUAUAUAGUCUGUUGUACUGAUUGGGAGGAUCUCUAGCACAUGGUUUUUACUUGUGACAGAGCUAUGGAGGUGUGGGAGGAACUUGGUCUUAGGGACUAUACCGAAUCAGUUGUUGUUCAAGAGCUAUCUAGGGCAACGAUCCUUGAAGAGUUGGUAUGUGCUGAGCUCCCAGCAGGAACGGGCAUUCCAAUUGUAAUGGAAUUCAUACUAUCAUGGUGGCAUGAUGGUGCAUCUAGUGGGAGUUUUGGAAAAUCGCCCAUGAGGUGAAAACGCCCCCCUAUACAAUAUGUUUUAAGCAUCAAGGGGAUUGUGGCGAAUGUAUUAGCAACAUAGGUAAAGGAACCAACAAGACAAAUGAAGUGAUUGGACCGACUUCAGGAACUAUAAAACUGAAUGUUGAUGCUAGCUUCCAUCCAGAGUCUGGUGCAGUGGGAGCUUUGCUCUCGGACUCAAAUGAGAAGUUCAUUGCCGCAUCUUGUUCAUAUUAGGAGUUCUCCAUGGAUGCCUUGAUGGAGGCUUUUAUGUUGUUUGAGGAGCUAUGCUUGGUAGAUGAGUUGAGGAUUUUACUCGGUGGUGGUAGAAUAUGACUCAAUGGAGAUCGUGCAUGCCAUCCUAGAUCCUUUAGAGUGCCGAGCUUCAGGGUUAAUAGUGAUUGAUGAUUGCCCUACAUUGUUGAGUUCUUUUGGCAGGGCAAUGAUUGCACAUUGUGCCUGAGAGAGCAAUGUUGUUGCACGUUCACUAGCUCGAGCAAGUUAUAAAGAGAAAAUUUCAGAGGAAUGACGUGAACAUCCUCCGGACUUUCUAAUCCCAUCUCUUGUAACAAACAUGGAUAUUGUUUAAUUAAGGUUGACAUAGUUAAAAAGCGCAUGAUUUUAGCAAUCUAGAAAACUCAUUUUGGAAUUUACUUUUAAGAUCUAAGCCCAGGAAAAUUCUUAGCUAUGCUUUGGCUUGGCUAAUACAAUUGUGAUAGAUUGAGUGUAAUUUUCAGAGAAAGAAUCUUGUUAAAGGUGUGAUUUGAAGCAAGAACUUACUUGGUUAUAAUGGCGGACUCAGAGAUUGAGGUUAGCCAGGGAGAGGACGACGACAAUGCUUGACAGCUUCGCAGUCGCUAGUGAUGAGUAGGCGAGGUACCUUGCUCCAUUAAAUAACCCGACAAUAACCCUUGUUUGCCCCAAUCUUGGGCUGACCACUGCUUGACUGGUUAAACUUUGUACCAUUAUGUCUUUGGAAUGGAACCUGACCAAAUGGCUACAAUGCAAUACGAAGAAAAACUUGGUUAAAUUUUCCAAAUUUAUUGAAGUGUGUCAAUGUAUUUUACAAUAUAUGGUUAGAAACUAGACAACCUAAUUCUACACAAAAAUGAAUUUAUAGGAGCGGCUCCAAACGAGGCCGCAUAUAUCUUGUUGAAGCUUUAACACCCUCUGGAGUUGCUUAUACCAUAUUUGAUACUUGAGAUCGGGAGUUCGAUGAAAAAAGUUCAUAAGAAUGCUUCUAAUGGAAGACUACAGAAUUCUAUGAUUCUUCUAUUUUGAUACCAAAAUGAAGUAAGCUAAGUCAAAUAAUCAUUUGUGUUGAACCAGCAGGAGAGCUACAUGUCAAUUCAUUAUGAGAGGAAAAUGAUACAUCACCAUAGAAGGCGCGAACCAUACAACACCAAAGAGGCACAACCAAAAAGGAAGAAUCUAAACAACCUAAGGAUCAAGAUUCAUAAGCAAGAGAUGACCAAACCCAACCUAAGGUAGAGAAAAAGUAUGCCAUACGACACGAAAAGCAAUAAACGUCUGAUGCAAGAUCCUAAACACCAGUCAACUACAAUACGACCUAAACACAACAACCACGAUGGCCUACGAUGACCUACGACAACAACGACUGACGCACACAAGCACCACAAGGACUAAACAACAACCAACCAUAAGACAACACUUCUUGCAAAAUCCAAGGCCAUUCUAAUGCUACCAUAUCGGUCUUUACUAAAGCCGUAGAAGAGGGGCCGAGAAGGUGGACAUGAACCAACUAGAGGGGAGCAAGAGCACAAGAAAGCACCAUGAUGAAAACCAUUGCGACUGAUGACCUGAAUCUGGAAUUGCCGCACCAUGUGCGAAAGAUAUCGAACCGAAAUGACGUCCACACCAUCACAAACAAGAAGCCUUCGAGCACAAGUGACCAAUUACCAAAUCCCAAAUUCACCACCAGCGGGAGACAAGCUGACAAAUAAUGACCAAAUCGGCGGCGGAAUCAACGGGGUGGAAAACCAAACGACGAAAUCCCACUCACUACUGGUCGGACACAAUCCACUAGGAGGAAAAACCGCCAGAUCUGGAAGAACCUUCGCCAAAUCUGGUAGAACCCCCACCAGAUUUGACAGAACCUCCACCAAAUCUAGCAAGUAACGACCGAGACAAUGGGGUAGGGGAAGGGGCGAGGAAACAGAUGCACACCUGAAUCGACCUGAUACAACAACCGUUGCAUCUCGACAUGACCCCUGGAAAGCCAUCGAAGCAACACCAAGCAACCACACUCAGCUAGAACAUACGUGCCCAAACGACUGGAAGAAGCAACCCAUGGAAGAUGUCCCUCUGCUGCCGUCCUUGGUGGCCGCGUGGGCUUUAGCACCGACAACGCGGUGGUGAGAAGGGAGUGGUGGUGGCGAAGGCCUGGCGGCUAGGGUUUGGUUUGCUACUCCUCGCCCCAUGGGGAGCGACACAGGGUUCGGGGACGAAGGUGUCAAAUAAUUAUAGCC
Molecule: long non-coding RNA, 38528 nt
Filed under: Triticum aestivum (bread wheat)
Lineage: Eukaryota; Viridiplantae; Streptophyta; Magnoliopsida; Poales; Poaceae
Description: long non-coding RNA (TAES_LNC015957)
Source: RNAcentral